GGUCUUAUGGUGUAACGGUUAGCACUCUGGACUCUGAAUCCAGUAAUCCGAGUUCAAAUCUCGGUGCGACCU
RNAcentral lists this transfer RNA (72 nucleotides) under Ixodes scapularis (black-legged tick). RNAcentral describes it as "tRNA-Gln for anticodon CUG". It matches the Rfam family "tRNA". Rfam says of the family: Transfer RNA (tRNA) molecules are approximately 80 nucleotides in length. Their secondary structure includes four short double-helical elements and three loops (D, anti-codon, and T loops). Further hydrogen bonds mediate the characteristic L-shaped molecular structure. tRNAs have two regions of fundamental functional importance: the anti-codon, which is responsible for specific mRNA codon recognition, and the 3' end, to which the tRNAs corresponding amino acid is attached (by aminoacyl-tRNA synthetases). tRNAs cope with the degeneracy of the genetic code in two manners: having more than one tRNA (with a specific anti-codon) for a particular amino acid; and 'wobble' base-pairing, i.e. permitting non-standard base-pairing at the 3rd anti-codon position. The record is from RNAcentral. Lineage: Eukaryota; Metazoa; Arthropoda; Arachnida; Ixodida; Ixodidae.